AGAGUUUGAUCCUGGCUCAGAUUGAACGCUGGCGGAAUGCUUUACACAUGCAAGUCGAGCGGCAGCGCGGGGGCAACCCUGGCGGCGAGCGGCGAACGGGUGAGUAAUGUAUCGGAACGUACCCAGUCGUGGGGGAUAACUAUCCGAAAGGAUAGCUAAUACCGCAUACGACCUGAGGGUGAAAGCGGGGGACCGAAAGGCCUCGCGCGAUUGGAGCGGCCGAUAUCGGAUUAGCUAGUUGGUGAGGUAAAGGCUCACCAAGGCGACGAUCCGUAGCUGGUCUGAGAGGACGACCAGCCACACUGGAACUGAGACACGGUCCAGACUCCUACGGGAGGCAGCAGUGGGGAAUUUUGGACAAUGGGGGCAACCCUGAUCCAGCCAUUCCGCGUGAGUGAAGAAGGCCUUCGGGUUGUAAAGCUCUUUCAGCAGGAACGAAACGGUGGUCCUUAAUACGGGCUACUAAUGACGGUNCCUGAAGAAGAAGCACCGGCUAACUACGUGCCAGCAGCCGCGGUAAUACNUAGGGUGCGAGCGUUAAUCGGAAUUACUGGNCGUAAAGCGUG
This 566-nucleotide ribosomal RNA is filed under the name uncultured bacterium. RNAcentral's name for it is "bacterial SSU rRNA". It matches the Rfam family "Bacterial small subunit ribosomal RNA", at positions 8 to 569 of the family's 1533-position model. The record is from RNAcentral.